CGCAUCUUCAUUACUGUAAUCCUCAUUCCAGUCUGGUUCUUCUGCUUCUUCUUCUUCUUCUUCAGAAUACUGAGAUUUCAAAAGGCUUUCUUCACUGUUUUGCUUUGAAUAUU
This 113-nucleotide small RNA is filed under the name Arabidopsis thaliana (thale cress). RNAcentral describes it as "ATSL223910". Lineage: Eukaryota; Viridiplantae; Streptophyta; Magnoliopsida; Brassicales; Brassicaceae. The record is from RNAcentral.